AAGUCGUAACAAGGUUUCCGUAGGUGAACCUGCGGAAGGAUCAUUACAGAGUUCAUGCCCUUACGGGUAGAUCUCCCACCCUUGAAUACAUUACCUUUGUUGCUUUGGCGGGCCGCACCGUCCACCGGCUUUGGCUGGUGAGUUCCCGCCAGAGGACCCUAAACUCUGAAUUAAAGUGUCGUCUGAGUACUAUAUAAUAGUUAAAACUUUCAACAACGGAUCUCUUGGUUCUG
Molecule: unclassified non-coding RNA, 233 nt
Filed under: air metagenome
Description: partial contains small subunit ribosomal RNA, internal transcribed spacer 1, and 5.8S ribosomal RNA
Rfam family: Eukaryotic small subunit ribosomal RNA (bases 1-46)
Source: RNAcentral